UAUUUCCAAAUUGAAUUCUAUUUCUUUAUGGAAACUAGUUAUGAUUUGUAAUUCCUUUUAGGAUUUGGAUUUCUACAUCCUAUAGGAUUUAGGACUUUGUCUAGCACUAUAAAUAGAGGAUGAGAUUCAAGGUUUUAUUCAUUCAACUAUUAACUAUCAUCUAUUGGAGUGUAGACUCAAGAGCAUGUCAGGCUAGUUCUUUUUAUUCACUUCUAAAGGGAGGUGAAUCCUUGUUACAAGUAAUUGAUUAAUUGAGUAUUAUUAUUUA
RNAcentral lists this long non-coding RNA (268 nucleotides) under Panax ginseng (ginseng). RNAcentral describes it as "long non-coding RNA (PGIN_LNC005731)". The record is from RNAcentral. Lineage: Eukaryota; Viridiplantae; Streptophyta; Magnoliopsida; Apiales; Araliaceae.